This 477-nucleotide ribosomal RNA is filed under the name uncultured bacterium. RNAcentral describes it as "bacterial SSU rRNA". It matches the Rfam family "Bacterial small subunit ribosomal RNA", at positions 28 to 507 of the family's 1533-position model. The record is from RNAcentral.
GAUGAACGCUGGCGGCGUGCCUCAAACAUGCAAGUCGAGCGGGGCUAUGUAAUAUCGCAAGGUAGAACAUAGCCUAGCGGCGAACGGGUGAGUAACACGUGGGUAACCUGCCUGGAAGACAGGGAUAACGAUUCGAAAGGGUCGCUAAUACCUGAUAAUAUCCUUUCAUCGCAUGGUGAUAGGAAGAAAGGGGAAACCCGCUUUCAGAUGGGCCCGCGUCCCAUCAGCUAGUUGGUAAGGUAAAGGCUUACCAAGGCGACGACGGGUAGCCGGUCUGAGAGGAUGUACGGCCACACUGGGACUGAGAUACGGCCCAGACUCCUACGGGAGGCAGCAGUUGGGAAUCUUAGGCAAUGGACGAAAGUCUGACCUAGCGACGCCGCGUGGAGGAAGAAGUCCUUCGGGGCGUAAACUCCUGGACUGGGGGACGAGGGAAGGGACGGUACCCGACGUAGAAAGGGACGGCGUAACUACGUG